UUCCCUCGGCCUAAAGUUCCUCGUGGGCGCGUGGAGGCCGCCGCGGGGUCGGUGCUGUGGGGCAGCGCCCGCCGUUCCAUGGGAAGCGGUGCGACCGGACGUUCGGAAGGAAACCUCGCUAGAGCAGGGAAUGCCUGGGCUCCUGGCUGCCCACGGGGCCUUUGCACGGCCUAGACUUUGCGACCGCAGUGGCCUCCUUCUGUCCCCGGUCGUGCGCCGCGCCCCCCAGCGCGGCUCACGUUUCGGAACACGUCUGACUUUCAUGCCUUCCGAAGAGCCUCCCCGCAUCCCGUGCCCCCUGCUCGCUGCUGCCGCUGACCCUUGGGCGUUGCGCUCGUCCAGAGCGUGUUGUCUUCUGACGCCGUCAGAACCUAAGCUCCCUGCGAGCUGGGACUCAGCCGUGUCCUCGUUGCCGCCAGUGCAAAGCAACUGCUUGCAAGAGAACAAAAGUGUGUUCAGGUGCACAGGGUAGAAAAUUCAAGGAGCCUGAAAGGGUGUUUGGUGAAGACUUGAUGUGUUUUUCCCAGUCCUAACCUCCGAGGCCCAGUUCUCCUCCCCUGGGGCAGAGAGAAACCCGUUUCUUACGUGUCAACAGAGAAAGUCUAUGCAGGAACAUGUACAUGCGUUUCUGCAAAAGUUGACAACUUCAGAUGAUCCACGUGGUACGAGUUCCACACGACACUGUGGUGAAGAGGAUUUUGGAAAUCUCCGUAUUUGGGGCCACCCCUCCCGCCGCGGCUGUGGAUAUUCCCUGUGGGCGAUGCUGACCUUGGUUUCAGGCAGCCCCAUUCUCAAGCUGCUGCGAACUCGGAGCCGAGGCUUCGGAAGGGCUCCCAGACGCCUGCAGUGUACAUGUCUGUGUUCCCUCAGCCUGCCCCCCUCACAUGGGGUAAACUGAGUCUGGGCCUUCAGGCUGCAGGCUCUCAGGCCAACUUCUACCCUUGACCUCUCCCCACCACCCCCUGCUCUUGGGACCCGGGAGGACCCCGCAAGGGCGGUGACAGGGAAGGCCAGCGCUCUGUUCCAGGACGCAUGCUCUCCCCACCUCCCACUUGGUAUGGCCCAGGGCCAGGCCACCUGGGAGCAGAGCCAACUUCCCAUUCUCCAUUUUGUGUAUUUUCCAGGACACACUUGUUGGAGCUCGGCAGCAGCCUUCUCCCGGGUAGGCGCCUGGGGGCUGAAUCUCUGGUCCACCCUGUGUCACCUGCACCUGGUACACCCCAGGGCGGGCCCCUGGGUGCCGGAACAGACAACAGCCAGGUGACGCUGUGGCCUAGGCCCAGUCUAGUUACCCGGAGCCCUGGGAGGGGUGGGGAGGCAGACCCUGCCCAGGGCCAGUGCCUGGAGCAUGGUUGCUGUGGAUGUGGCAGAGGCUUGCCUGAGAUGUGGGCUAGGCCCUUCCAGUGGGUCAGGUCUGGGGUGGUGCCCAGGGUUGUGCACCCUCAGGCUGCUGCCCAGUGGACCAGUGGCCUGUCAGCCCCGACUGGCGUUCACGGGGUCCCAGCAUGGGUGUGUGGGCGGCUGACCCAGGCUCUUAUGAUGCUGUGGCUGUUGUUCGUCCAUUGUCCCAUUAAUGCCAAGCUGGUAGGACCCACCUGGCUGGCUGUGUUCUGCAUGACCCGAGGGCCCACUGGGGUUCUGGAAGAGGAUGGAGACCAUCCCUGCUUGGCUGUGAUUCCGUCCUCUUGACCUGUGGUGGCCGUGACCUGAGGUGGGGCCUCUGGGAGCAGGCGCCUCCUCUUUCCUCCCCCAUGGCGGGCACCUGCCUGUCCACCUCUGAAUCUGGGUGUCAGCAUCAAGGUAGGAGUGCAGGGCCGGCUUGUUAACUGGGAUUCUGUCCAGCCCAGCCAGUGUCAGCGUGGCCCAGGGGCCACCACGAGCCCCUGGUCCCGCUUCCCUCCUGGUUCCGGGCUCCAGCUACGGGCCACGUCGAUCUUCACACGACUCUGGACUGCUGGGGUCACUGUCCCUGCUUCCCCACCGAGAGAAGUAGCCGAGACCCCGACCAGGCCUGCGCUCCCUUGGCACUCAGCAUCUCCCAGCCACGACAGCACCGGUGGCUCAGAAAUAAGGUCCCGGGACAGAUGUGCCCGGCCAGACAGCGAGCUCUCCUGCCAGACCAGAGCCUCUUCUCUCCCCAGCACCCAGCCGGAAGCAGGGCUGGGAACAGGCACCGUGCGUGUCCGUGGAGGAUGAGAGCGCGACUUUGGGACCGGCCCUACCCCACAGCCUCACGGAGGGAACGGGUCCAGGCGGGGUGCUUUCUGUGAAGCCUAUGGCUGUUAGCAGAGCGCCCUGAAACCCCACCACUAGGCCGGACGCGGUGGCUCAGGCCUGUCUGUAAUCCCAGCACUUUGGGCGACCGAGGCAGUGGAUGACCUGAGGUCAGGAGGCUGAGGCAGGAUCAUGAGGUCAGGAGUUUGAGACCAGCCUGACCAACAUGGUGAAACCCCGUCUCUACUAAAAGUACAAAAAUUAGCCGGCAUGGUGGCGGGCGCCUGUGAUCCCAGCUACUCGGGAGGCUUAUGCAGGAGAAUCGCUUGAACUCAGGGGGUGGAGGUUGCAGUGAGCCGAGAUUGCACCACUGCACUCCAGCCUGGGUGACAGAGCAAGACUCCAUCUUAAAAAACAAAAAACAAAAAAAACACCACUUGUCUGACCCUGUUCAAGGAGGAAAGCUCUUAUGGAAGUUUUUCAUCUUUGGGAGGCCAAGGAAGUGGGGGCCUGGGGGAUCCCCUCUCAGUUCUGUGCAGAUAAAAUCCCCAGCCCUGGCCCUGCAGUCCUGCUGAGGAGGGACUGGGGGUGCAGGGGGAGGGGGAUUCACACGGGAAAGGAAAUGCCAGCUGGAUCCUACCCCUGCUGCCCGCGCUGUGCAGGACGGAGGAGGCCUUGGUGUCCCUGCAGUAGCUCCGAGCAUGGAGGCCGUGGACCCCAGAGAUGCUCCCUGCAGGACCCCACACUGGGGCUUCCUUGCAGUCGGCCAGCAGGGGGACCUCGCUGUGUCCUCUGGUUGGAGGGUGGCAGCCGCUGCCCCACCUUCCCACCUGGCUGGCAGAACCUUGUCCUGUGUCCCCCAGAAGCUUGCAGCUGCCCCCGCCCCUGUGCGUGGGGGCCCGCCUGGACCGUGGUAAGUGAUUUAACACCUUAACACAGAAAUAAACGCCAAGCGGCUUUAGGGGUGGGUGUUUCGGUCACAUAAUGCAACACAUGCGGUAAUGUAAAUAAAGGCGUUAUCACCA
Macaca fascicularis (crab-eating macaque) is the source of this 3239-nucleotide long non-coding RNA. The record is from Ensembl. Lineage: Eukaryota; Metazoa; Chordata; Mammalia; Primates; Cercopithecidae.